Long non-coding RNA from Xenia sp. Carnegie-2017, 658 nucleotides. RefSeq lists it as uncharacterized. The transcript is spliced from 3 exons. The record is from RefSeq and is a predicted model, not a curated record. Lineage: Eukaryota; Metazoa; Cnidaria; Anthozoa; Malacalcyonacea; Xeniidae.
GUUGGCGAGGAAUUUUGACGACUCAAAAAGCUUUUGUGGAAACAUUUAGAAAGAUUGAAGAAAAUGAGCAAUCUGAACAGAUGAAUUUGCAAGCUUCUUUGAAGACGGAAUUAAAGAAAUUUCGUGACAACGCUGCGAAGGAAGUUCAAAAACAAGAACUCGAAAAGAUCAAACGACGUAUUCAGACGAUGCUUGGCACCUCUUUGUGAGUGAUUUAAUGGUUUUAUUACAAAUAAUCAUGCAGGUACUUUUCAAAAUCCAUUUUAUGGACGAUAUUCACUGCAUCAACUGUACUUUUACCCAUUCUCAUUAAUUUGUCAAUGAUUUGAAAUGACGUUAAAUGUUCAAUAAUAUUUAUUCAUUAUAUGUUUAAGUGCGUGUACUGUGUAUGAAUUUCUUCAAAAACACCUAAAUUUUUGAUUCAAUAGUCAUGACGACGAGAAAGCAGGUGUGAUUGUUUGAGAGUUAUUGCAAAGAUAUGGCUUUGUUUUGUUGUAAACGUGUAUUAGUACCAAAAAAUGCGUGUUUUUGUAGUGAUUUUGUUGAAGUGUGAUAUAAACUAUUUACGUUUAAAUUACAUAGAGUAAACCUGUAAAGAAUAGCGUCACUUUUUCGCAUGUACAUAAUAUAUUAAUCCUAACACGGUUUUUAAUAUGCA